Molecule: ribosomal RNA, 406 nt
Filed under: Haemaphysalis longicornis (longhorned tick)
Lineage: Eukaryota; Metazoa; Arthropoda; Arachnida; Ixodida; Ixodidae
Description: Eukaryotic large subunit ribosomal RNA
Rfam family: Eukaryotic large subunit ribosomal RNA
Source: Rfam by way of RNAcentral
CUUGAGUAUUGACCUUGGGAACUUAAGUGCAGAGGGGUGCUAUGUGAAUCACAGUUGAACAGGGGUCAGUCGGUCCUUAAGGAAAGGAGAAAUCCUUUCUGAAGCGGGCGCGUUUGUGCAGCUCAGUUGGUGAAUCGGAGGCGCCCCCGUGCAGCCUAAAAUGAAUCGGGUUAACUGUCCCAAACCUUGCUAUGUUGAUCGGUCCUUUCGGAACCAGUUCGGCAACGCAGACUAGCUCGGAGACGCCGAUGAAAGCCCCAGAAGAGUUUCAUUUUUUCUGUAAAGAGACUAAGUCCAGAGCAGUGCGGCGCUUGCGCUAUCUGGAGCUCUGCUGUCAGUCCUUGAAAAUCCCAGUACGGGAGAGUGAUUUUAGUCCGCAGCAGGUUUUCAAGAUGAACAUCUAGUC